RNAcentral lists this ribosomal RNA (664 nucleotides) under uncultured fungus. RNAcentral's name for it is "eukaryotic LSU rRNA". It matches the Rfam family "Eukaryotic large subunit ribosomal RNA", at positions 24 to 664 of the family's 3401-position model. Lineage: Eukaryota; Fungi. The record is from RNAcentral.
CCCGCUGAACUUAAGCAUAUCAAUAAGCGGAGGAAAAGAAACUAACAAGGAUUCCCCUAGUAACUGCGAGUGAAGCGGGAAAAGCUCAAAUUUAAAAUCUGGCGGUCUUUCGGCCGUCCGAGUUGUAAUCUGGAGAAGCGUUUAUCCGCGUUGGACCGUGUACAAGUCUUCUGGAAGGGAGCGUCAUAGAGGGUGAGAAUCCCGUCUUUGACACGGACUACCAAUGCUUUUGUGAUGCGCUCUCGAAGAGUCGAGUUGUUUGGGAAUGCAGCUCAAAAUGGGUGGUAAAUUCCAUCUAAAGCUAAAUAUAGGCGAGAGACCGAUAGCGAACAAGUACCGUGAGGGAAAGAUGAAAAGCACUUUGGAAAGAGAGUUAAACAGUACGUGAAAUUGCUGAAAGGGAAACGCUUGAAGUCAGUCACGUCUGCCAGGACUCAGCCUUGCUUCUGCUUGGUGUAUUUUCUGGUUUGAUGGGCCAACAUCAAUUUUGACCGUUGGAGAAAGGCUGUGGGAAUGUGGCACCUUCUGGUGUGUUAUAGCCCAUGGUUGUAUACAGCGGUUGGGAUUGAGGACUGCAGCACGCCUUUAUGGCCGGGGGUUUUGCCCACGUUACGUGCUUAGGAUGUUGGCAUAAUGGCUUUAAGCGACCCGUCUUGAAACACGG